ACCUACCCUAAAGACGGGGAUACCCUCGGAAACGGGGGCUAAUACCGGAUAGCUACAGCGUACGGGGGUAUGUUGUAGAAAGCUACGGCGCUUUAGGAGGGGUCUGCGGCCCAUCAGCUAGUUGGUAGGGUAACGGCCUACCAAGGCAAAGACGGGUAGGGGGUGUGAGAGCACGGNCCCCCACAAUGGGACUGGAACACGGCCCAUACUCCUACGGGAGGCAGCAGCAGGGAAUAUUGCGCAAUGGGCGAAAGCCUGACGCAGCGACGCCGCGUGAGUGAAGACGGCUUUCGAGUUGUAAAACUCUUUUCUGGGGGAAGAGGAAGGACGGUACCCGAGGAAUAAGCGUCGGCUAACUACGUGCCAGCAGCCGCGGUAAGACGUAGGACGCGAGCGUUAUCCGGAUUUACUGGGCGUAAAGCGCCUGUAGGCGGCUUUGUAAGUUGGGCGUGAAAGCCCCGUGCUUAACGCGGGGAGGCCGUUCAAUACUGCGGAGCUAGAGUACGGCAGAGGGGAGUGGAAUUCCUGGAGUAGCGGUAAAAUGCGCAGAUAUCAGGAGGAACAUCUGUGGCGAAGGCGAGCUUCUGGCCAGAAACUGACGCUGAGGCGCGAAAGCGUGGGGAGCGAACAGGAUUAGAUACCCUGGUAGUCCACGCUGUAAACGAUGUGCACUAGGUGUUGGCUGUGAUAACGGUCAGUGCCGAAGCAAACGCGAUAAGUGCACCGCCUGGGGAGUAUGCUCGCAAGGGUGAAACUCAAAGGAAUUGACGGGGGCCCGCACAAGCGGUGGAGCAUGUGGUUUAAUUCGAUGAUACGCGAGGAACCUUACCAGGGUUUGACAUAUGGCGGACUGCGGCAGAGAUGUCGCUUCCCUUCGGGGCCGUCAUACAGGUGCUGCAUGGCUGUCGUCAGCUCGUGCUGUGAGGUGUUGGGUUAAGUCCCGCAACGAGCGCAACCCCUGCUGUCUGUUACCAGCACGUAAUGGUGGGGACUCAGGCGGUACUGCCGGUGACAAACCGGAGGAAGGUGGGGACGACGUCAAGUCAUCAUGGCCCUUAUGUCCUGGGCUACACACGUGCUACAAUGGCCGGUACAGAGUGCAGCGAAACCGCGAGGUGGAGCAAAUCACAGAAAGCCGGUCUCAGUACGGAUUGGAGUCUGAAACCCGACUUCAUGAAGCUGGAAUCGCUAGUAAUCGCGCAUCAGCAUGGCGCGGUGAUACGUUCCCGGGCAUUGUACACACCGCCCGUCACACCACCCGAGUUGGGGGUACCCGAAGUCGCUUGUCUAACCGGAAACGGGGGACGGUGCCGAAGGUA
This 1319-nucleotide ribosomal RNA is filed under the name uncultured organism. RNAcentral's name for it is "bacterial SSU rRNA". It matches the Rfam family "Bacterial small subunit ribosomal RNA", at positions 124 to 1464 of the family's 1533-position model. The record is from RNAcentral.